Mus musculus (house mouse) is the source of this 5450-nucleotide RNA transcript. It is a transcript of the gene named Scl/Tal1 interrupting locus, with no coding region annotated. Lineage: Eukaryota; Metazoa; Chordata; Mammalia; Rodentia; Muridae. The record is from RefSeq and is marked reviewed. The transcript is spliced from 18 exons.
GCCGGGCUUCUGGCCAAUCAGCAGGCGCGGCGCGCCCUUUGGUUCCCUCCAGCGAGCGCUUGCCGCCUCGGUUCCCGCGACCCCAACGUCCCAGAGGCGGGGCCGCAGUCAUCUGAGACGCUACCUGGAUCCUGACUCUGCGUGCCCAACAAACGGGCCCAACAACCAAACCCUAGCUUGGCGGCGGCCGUGACAACAGCGACGGUGGAUCUUUGAGCUCCUGAUUCCCCGAGGCGCCCUACGGGCCCGGGAAGCACGGUACUGAGGAUUACAAAUUGACUAAAUCACUCACCAAAUAUAGAGCCUGUAGUUCCUUCAGCCUGUAAUUCCAGAUGAAUACCAGGUUUCCUUCAAGCAAGAUGGUACCUUUCCAUUUUCCCCCAUCAAAAUUGGCACUUUGGAACCCAAUGCCAAUUGGAGAGUGCAUCUACUUGCAUCUCAGUUACUACAGAAAGCCAAAGCUUAUGGUAACUGAAAAGGCCAUCCGACUUGCUUAUCGUCAUGCUAAGCAGAAUAAAAAAAAUGUGCCAUGCUUCUUACUUGGUUCUCUCACAGUGGAUGAAGAUGAAGAAGGUGUGACAUUGACCAUAGAUCGCUUUGAUCCUGGUCGAGAAAUACCUGAAUGCUUAGAAAGAACUCCUACUGCUUCUCUUCCUGGAGAUUUUUUGAUUCCCUGCAGAGUUCAUAUUCAAGGACUUGGUUCAAGGGAUGUGAUAGUUCAUAAUGCAGAUGACUUCAGUUCAGCUUUAAAGGCUUUACAAUACCAUGUGUGUAGCAAAGAUUUCUUGGACUGUGGAAAGUUGCUUUGCCUACGAGCCCAAAUCACCCCCAGGGAGAGUUUAGAUGGUGUGGAUUUUAACUUGCAAUGGACAGCAGUAACUCUAGCAAAUUCCUUCAAGUGUGUGCCUGUGAAGCCUAUCCCCAUUAUCCCUACAGCACUUGCAAGAAACCUAAGUAGUAAUUUGAAUAUUUCUCAAGUUCAGGGAACCUAUAAACAUGGAUAUAUUACUAUGGAUGAAACUCGCAAACUGUUACUUUUGCUGCAAUCAGAUCCCAAGGUCUCUUCUCUCCCGUUAGUGGGAAUCUGGCUGGCUGGAAUUAUACAUGUCUAUAGCCCUCAGGUAUGGGCUUGCUGCUUGAGAUACAUGUUCAGUUCUUCCAUUCAGGAAAGGGUUUUUUCAGAAUCUGGAAAUUUCAUCAUAGUUCUUUAUUCAUUGACACAUAAGGAGCCUGAGUUUUAUGAGUGCCUUCCUUGUGAGAGUAGGACGCCCGACCUUCAGUUUCAGUUACUAACCAACAAGGAGACUUUGCAUCUUUUCAAUAACGUUGAACCUUCUGGCAAAAACCCAAUCCAUUUUGAACUCAGUGCCGAGAGUCAAGAUGCCGAAGCCGAGGCAGAGGUUCUUAGCAAGAUUUCCAAGACUCUUCCAGUGAAGAGAUCCUCCCAAAAAUUAUCUCCUGGGAAAAUACCAAUAAAUAAGCAUGACACUGACCUUGAAGAUGAAGACUUUUCUCCAAGACCGAUUCCUAGUCCUCACCCAGUGAGUCAGAAGAUUUCUAAGGUCCAGCCAUCUGUUCCUGAACUUUCGCUCGUGUUAGACAACAACUUCACAGAGUCAAGUAACCAGUCUAACCCUUUGGAAAUGAUGACUGUGGAGAAUCCUUUAUUGAUUAAGCCAUCCCAGCCUGAGCUUUGUGAUGCCAAACACAGCUCAGAAGCUACCACUGGGGAGCCUUUCCGGAGGGGCCCAACAAAUCAGUUAAGUCAGGACACUGCUUUAAGACAGAGCAGAGGGAAGCAGUCAUCUACCUGUAAGAAAGAGAGUCUCCAGUUCAGGAACACUAAUGCUAAACCAUCUCUCAGUGUGCCAUCUCCUGAUGUAGCUGAGAAACUUCAAGCAGUUUCUGCUGGGAGCAUGCAAAAGGAAGACUACCCUGUGAGACCUUCCACACUGGACUCGAGGCAGCCCUCUCUUGCUCCACAAGCCCAGCCACACAAUCUUGUUUUUUCAACUCAUAAUUCAACAAGACCAAUGGAGCUUCAAGUGCCCACUCCUUCAUUACCAUCCUACUAUCCCACAAACGUCUGCAGCUGUUGUCAGCAUCAUGGCCAUAUUCAGUAUAGUACAAUAAAUUCUUGGCAGGGAAAUACAGUAGGGUCUAUUCAAGACCUGCGAUCUGAGUCCCUUCCAAAACAUGCCUUCUUUCACUCAAGUGGAUGCCCAUCUCUGUGUCCUAAUGCCAUCUACUCGUCAAGUAGCCCUGUUAGCAUGAAGCAAGGAGGCAUGGGUGCCUAUUCUCCCCAUAGCAAUGGAGAACCGUCUCCUGUGGCAGGACCUUCACAUGUGGACUCGUGUGUGCCACAUCCCUGUGCCAUGUGCAUGCACAUGCCCAAUACAGCACCAGACAAUGGCAUGAUGGGACUGUCUCCUGAUGCAUACCGUUUUGUCACAGAGCAAGACAGGCAGCUGAGACUACUUCAGGCACAGUGUGGCCAAACACGAUCAAUUCUGUCUAAAGUUAAUAGAAGGAAUCUUGUAUAAAAUCCUCAAUUUUGAGUGCAUGAAACUCAAGAUCCAGCGCUUAUUAGAAGCACAAUCUCUAGAUCCUGGCUCCCAUAAGACAGUAGCCACCGUGGAAGACACCGUGAAAGCAGCAAAACAAAUGGAGCUGGUUUCCAUGGAAGCACAGUCUUCGCCUGGCUUGCACAUGAGAAAAAGUGUAAGCAUUGCUGUGAGCACAGGUGCUAGCUUGUUUUGGAAUGCAGCAGGUGAUGAUCAAGAGCCCGACUCACAGCCGAAGCAAGAUGAUACCAAGAUUUCCAGUGAAGACAUGAAUUUUUCUGUAGAUAUUAAUAAUGAAGCGACAAGUCUUCCUGGUAGUGCAUCUUCCUUAAAAGCAGUUGACAUUCCUAGUUUUGAAGAAAGCAACCUUGCUGUGGAGGAAGUUAAUCAGCCACUUCCUGAAUCCAACAGCUCUUCAGAGCAGAGCAAAGAACCUGGUGUUCCUGUGUUCUUCCCAAAUGCAUUGCUGGCUGAAAGUGUGAGCAUGUGCUUACAGACUGCGCCAACAGAGGGAGCCAGUAACAGCACUGAAUUACCACAGGGAACAAAAGAUGAGCCUUACCGGCCAUCAGAUAACCAGAAAAUUUACCAGGACUUGUUGGGCCAAGUGAACCACCUACUAAGUAACGCCUCCCAAGAAACCGAAGAACCACCUACCAAAGCGGUAGUUACCAACCGUGAAUGCGCCAAGACCCAAAAUACUCACCAUGCAAGGAAAAAAAGACACAAUUCAGGACUGGUAGACAAAGAUUGUGUACUCAGUGCAACUAUUAAACAGCUAAGGAGCCUAGGAGUGAAAAUCGACUCUCCCACUAAAGUGAAGAAAAAUGAACAGAAAGUGGAUCAUGCCAGUGUUUUGGCCUGCAUCAGCCCGGAAGCAGUGAUCUCUGGAUUAAACUACAUGUCGUUUGGUAAUGUUGGCAUGAGCAGCCUAAGUCCCACUGGUGUGGAUCUGAGCAUGGAGGCCAAUGCCAUUGCUCUGAAGUACUUAAGUGAAAACCAGCUGUCACAACUGUCUCUUGCUCGGUCAAAGCAGAAUAACGGUGACUCCUCUGUCGGCCUUCUACAUAUUAAUUCAGACAGGAGUACAGUGGGGCUUAGCUUAGUUUCACCAAGCAACAUGUCAUUUGCAACCAAAAAAUACAUGAAGAGGUAUGGACUCUUACAAAGCAGUGACAAUAGUGAGGAUGAAGAGGAGCCUCCCAGCCACGCAGAUAGUGAGAGCGACCAUGUGUUGAACAGAAACCCAGCAUGCAGACCUGUGCAAUGUGGUCAUGAGAAAGAGCCUUCUUGGAAUGCCUGUGAAAUAGCUCAGUGCUCUGACUGUGGCUCUGCGGACACACGCACAGAUGUGCCAGUACUGAGAAAUAUCACAAAUCAAGCUGUGCAGCCUAGAGCAACAGAGCACUUGAAUGAAGACUCUGCUAUUUCAUUAAGGAAUCUUAAGCCAAACCCGGCAAUGAACCUCCGAACUGGAAAGGCAGAGUUUACUCAUCAUCCCGAGAAGGAAAAUGAAAGAGACAUUGCAGUUUUUCCCGGAACCUUGCCAUCUCCUGAGACUUUAAAACAAAUGAAUAGCAUGGAUUCUGUGGGCACCUUCUUAGACGUAAAGCGUCUCAGACAGUUACCUAAGUUAUUUUAACUCUUCAUUUCUCUUUUUGUGGUGUGAGGACUGGGUGUGUAUUGAUGGCACUUAAGAAAUCCAGACCUUUGGGAUUAAGACAGGGUUUCUCUGUGUAGCCCUGGCUGUCCGGGAACUCAAUCCAUAGACCAGGGUAGCCUCGAACUCACAGAGAUCCACCUACCUCUGCCUUCCAGGUGCUAAGUAGGACUAAAGGCUUGCAUCAUUGCCUGGCGGCCAUGACCUUUGGAAUUUCUAAUACCUUUUAGAGUCUUUUCCCUAUUAGUAGCAAAUUAACAUUGGCUGGGGGUUGGGGGUGGUUGACCCAGUUGUGAGGUGGCUUCUUAGUGGGAAGGCUGGGUUUAUUCAGCAUCACUGAACCUAAAACAGAAGCAAGACUCUAAGACCAGGUGCCGCAGCUAAUCAAGUUCAAAUGUGUUUCCCUGUACCCCAGGGCCUUGCAUUUGCUAAUGGGCUCCAUUACUGAGCCUGACCACUGAGCUAUAUCCUCAACUGUAGAUUUUUUAAAAGAAGGUCUCAGGUCAAUCUGUAGCCUAGGCUGGCUUCAGACUUAGAAUUCUGCCUUCCUCGUCUGGCUCAGGUAUGCACUUUACCCUGUGUCUCCCAAAAAUAGUUUUUUUACAUAAUCAUAGUUUGUUUCCAAACUAAGAAAUUACAUAGACACAAUACUGCAUAAACAGCAGAACUUUUCAUUGCCUUGGGUUCUUAUUGGUGGGAUGAGGCAGUGCUGGGGUUGAACCCAGGUACCUCACACAAAGUGCUAUAGCACUGAACUUUAUACCUCAGUCCAUGAGGUGUUCUGUGUACUCAUUGAUUCACAGUUUUUGUGUAUAGAUACAUGAAAUUAUAUCGCAUAGCUUCCACUAACCUAAGACCUGUCCUCCCUCCAUCCCUACCGAUAGCCCUACCAUCACCAGAAUGUUUUUAUCAUUUUAAGAACAUUUCAUAAACAGAAUUGUACUUUUAAAAACAAUUUUUUAUUUAGCAUUCUACCUUUUGAAAUGUACUGUCUUACUCCAAAUAAUAUCCUGAGAUCUAUCCAAGUGUUGGGUGUGUUGGUAAUUAAUUCUUUUCUUAUUCUUUACUUCUAUUCCCCCCCCCCCAAGUUGUUUCAAAUUGUUGUUUCCAAAGAAAAAAGAAAAGAAAAAAAAAAACCCUCAUUGACUUGAAAGAUUUAGGUUUCUGCUGAAGUUAAAAUGUGGUUGCCCUGUAUUAAAGCUUGUCUCAUAACUGAAAAAAACUGA